GGAGUUAGCGACAGGGAGGGAUGCGCCCCUGGGUGUAGUUGUGGGGGAGGAAGUGGCUAGCUCAGGGCUUCAGGAGACAGACAGGGAGAGAUGACUGAGUUAGAUGAGACUAGGGGGCGGGCUGGGGGUGCGAGAAGGAAGCUUGGCAAGGAGACUAGGUCUAGGGGGACCACAGUGGGGCAGGCUGCAUGGAAAAUAUCCGCAGGGGCUCCCAGGCAGAACAGCCACGCUCCAGGCCAGGCUGUCCCUACUGCCUGGUGGAGGGGAAACUUGACCUCUGGGAGGGCGCCGCUCUUGCAUGGCUGAGCGAGCCCGGGUGCGCUGGUCUGUGUGGAAGGAGGAAGGCAGGGAGAGGUAGAAGGGGUGGAGGAGUCAGGAGGAAUAGGCCGCAGCAGCCCUGGAAAUGAUCAGGAAGGCAGGCAGUGGGUGCAGGGCUGCAGGAGGGCCGGGAGGGCUAAGCUUCAACUUGUCCAUGCCAGCAGCCCCUUUUUUUCCAGACCAAGGGCUGUGAACCCGCCUGGGGAUGAGGCCUGGUCUUGUGGAACUGAACUUAGCUCGACGGGGCUGACCGCUCUGGCCCAGGGUGGUAUGUAAUUUUCGCUCGGCCUGGGACAGGGCCCAGGCCGGGCCCAGCCUGGUGGAGCGUCCAGGUCUGGGUGCGAAGCCAGGCCCCUGGGCGGAGGUGAGGGGUGGUCUGAGGAGUGAUGUGGAGUUAAGGCGCCAUCCUCACCGGUGACUGGUGCGGCACCUAGCAUGUUCGACAGGCGGGGACUGCGAGGCACGCUGCUCGGGUGUUGGGGACAACAUUGACCAACGCUUUAUUUUCCAGGUGGCAGUGCUCCUUUUGGACUUUUCUCUAGGUUUGGCGCUAAACUCUUCUUGUGAGCUCACUCCACCCCUUCUUCCUCCCUUUAACUUAUCCAUUCACUUAAAACAUUACCUGGUCAUCUGGUAAGCCCGGGACAGUAGCCGAGUGGCUGUUGGAGUCGGUAUUGUUGGUAAUGGUGGAGGAAGAGAGGCCUUCCCGCUGAGGCUGGGGUGGGGCGGAUCAGUGUUGCUUGCCUGCAGAGAGGGUGGGGAGUGAGUGUGCACCCUUGGGUGGGCCUGCAGCCAUCCAGCUGAAAGUUACAAAAAUGCUUCAUGGACCGUGGUUUGUUACUAUAGUGUUCCUCAUGGCGAGCAGAUGGAACCGGGAGACAUGGAGCCCCUGGCCAGUGUGAGUCCUAGCAGUGCAGGAGGGGAGACCCUGGAGGAGAGAGCCCGCCUCAAUUGAUGCCUGCAGAUUGAAUUUCCAGAGGCUUAGGAGGAGGAAGUUCUCCAAUGUUCUGUUUCCAGGCCUUGCUCAGGAAGCCCUGUAUUCAGGAGGCUACCAUUUAAAGUUUGCAGAUGAGCUUAUGGGGGGCAAUCUUAAAAAGUCCACAGCAGAUGCAUCCGGCUCGAGGGGCCAUCAGCUUUGAAUAAAUGCUUGUUCCAGAGCCCAUGAAUGCCAGCAGGCACCCCUCCUUUCCUGGGGUAAAGGUUUUCAGAUGCCGCAUCUUCUAAAUUGAGCCUCCGGUCAUACUAGUUUUGUGCUUGGAACCUUGCUUCAAGAAGAUCCCUAAGCUGUAGAACAUUUUAACGUUGAUGCCACAACGCAGAUUGAUGCCUUGUAGACGGAGCUUGCAGAUGGAGCCCCGUGACCUCUCACCUACCCACCUGUUUGCCUGCCUUCUUGUGCGUUGCUCGGAGAAGUUCUUAGCCUGAUGAAAUAACUUGGGGCGUUGAAGAGCUGUUUAAUUUUAAAUGCCUUAGACUGGGGAUAUAUUAGAGGAAGCAGAUUGUCAAAUUAAGGGUGUCAUUGUGUUGUGCUAAACUCUGGGAGGGUACAAGUUGGUCAUUCCUAAAUCUGUGUGUGAGAAAUGGCAGGUCUAGUUUGGGCAUUGUGAUUGCACCGCAGAUUACUAGGAGAAGGGAAUGGUGGGUACACCGGUAGUGCUCUUUUGUUCUUGCUUCGUUUUUUUAAACUUGAACUUUACUUCGUUAGAUUUCAUAAUACUUUCUUGGCAUUCUAGUAAGAGGACCCCGAGGUGGGAGUUGUGGGGGACGGGAAGAAGGGGACAGCUUGGCACUGGUCCCGUGGGCCUUGCAGUGUGGGGGAUGGGGGUAUGCAGCUUGGCACUGGUACUGGGAGGGAUGAGGGUGAAGAAGGGGAGAGGGUUGGUUAGAGAUACAGUGUGGGUGGUGGGGGUGGUAGGAAAUGCAGGUUGAAGGGAAUUCUCUGGGGCUUUGGGGAAUUUAGUGCGUGGGUGAGCCAAGAAAAUACUAAUUAAUAAUAGUAAGUUGUUAGUGUUGGUUAAGUUGUUGCUUGGAAGUGAGAAGUUGCUUAGAAACUUUCCAAAGUGCUUAGAACUUUAAGUGCAAACAGACAAACUAACAAACAAAAAUUGUUUUGCUUUGCUACAAGGUGGGGAAGACUGAAGAAGUGUUAACUGAAAACAGAUGACACAGAGUCACCAGUUUUCCGAGAACCAAAGGGAGGGGUGUGUGAUGCCAUCUCACAGGCAGGGGAAAUGUCUUUACCAGCUUCCUCCUGGUGGCCAAGACAGCCUGUUUCAGAGGGUUGUUUUGUUUGGGGUGUGGGUGUUAUCAAGUGAAUUAGUCACUUGAAAGAUGGGUGUCAGACUUGCAUACGCAGCAGAUCAGCAUCCUUCGCUGCCCCUUAGCAACUUAGGUGGUUGAUUUGAAACUGUGAAGGUGUGAUUUUUUCAGGAGCUGGAAGUCUUAGAAAAGCCUUGUAAAUGCCUAUAUUGUGGGCUUUUAACGUAUUUAAGGGACCACUUAAGACGAGAUUAGAUGGGCUCUUCUGGAUUUGUUCCUCAUUUGUCACAGGUGUCUUGUAAUUGAAAAUCAUGAGCGAAGUGAAAUUGCAUUGAAUUUCAAGGGAAUUUAGUAUGUAAAUCGUGCCUUAGAAACACAUCUGUUGUCUUUUCUGUGUUUGGUCGAUAUUAAUAAUGGCAAAAUUUUUGCCUAUCUAGUAUCUUCAAAUUGUAGUCUUUGUAACAACCAAAUAACCUUUUGUGGUCACUGUAAAAUUAAUAUUUGGUAGCAGACAGAAUCCAUGUACCUUUGCUAAGGUUAGAAUGAAUAAUUUAUUGUAUUUUUAAUUUGAAUGUUUGUGCUUUUUAAAUGAGCCAAGACUAGAGGGGAAACUAUCACCUAAAAUCAGUUUGGAAAACAAGAGCUAAAAAGGGAAGGGGAUGGGGAUUGUGGGGAGAGAGUGGGCGAGGUGCCUUUACUACAUGUGUGAUCUGAAAACCCUGCUUGGUUCUGAGCUGCAUCUAUUGAAUUGGUAAAGUAAUACCAAUGGCUUUUUAUCAUUUCCUUCUUCCCUUUAAAUUUCACUUGAAAUUUUAAAAAUCAUGGUUAUUUUUAUCGUUGGGAUCUUUCUGUCUUCUGGGUUCCAUUUUUUAAAUGUUUAAAAAUAUGUUGACAUGGUAGUUCAGUUCUUAAUGACUUGGGGAUGAUGCAAACAAUUACUGUCGUUGGGAUUUAGAGUGUAUUAGUCACGCAUGUAUGGGGAAGUAGUCUCGGGUAUGCUGUUGUGAAAUUGAAACUGUGAAAGUAGAUGGUUGAAAGUACUGGUAUGUUGCUCUGUAUGGUAAGAACUAAUUCUGUUACGUCAUAUACAUAAUUACUAAUCACUUUUCUUCCCCUUUACAGCACAAAUAAAGGUUUGAGUUCUAAACUCAUUAGAAUUGUUGUAUUGCUAUGUUACAUUUCUCGACCCCUAUCACAUUGCCUUCAUAACGACUUUGGAUGUAUCUUCAUAUUGUAGAUUUAGGUCUAGAUUUGCUAGCUCCAAGUAAGUAAGGCCAUGUAGGAGAGCAUGGUAACCACAGAUAGAACUGGUAUUAUCCCAAGUGGUCUGCAGACUGCUGAGUGGGGAUGGGAUCUGCUCUCUGUUGAGAGUUGGUAAUCAUUGGUUUGAAAUGUGAUGAAACCACUCAAGCCAAUGAAGGUGGGCGUGUAGGUGGGGAGUACUUUGCCAUAAUAUUUUAAAACAUUACCUGGUUGGAGUUCUAAGUGGUACUUAUUUUUGUUUGGUUAGGGGAAAGCCUGAAUAAAAACAGAAAUGGACACAUAAUAUGCAUAUUCCAUAGUCUUUGGGAGGCUGGAAUGUGCCUGGGAUUUGGGUCUAAGUGUGCGUAAUUCUUACCUCACUAAAGAAUUUGCCUUGUUUUUUUCCUUUUGGUGAGUGACUAAAACGUCUGGGCUUCCCUGUGUGCGUGCUACAGUAAGCAAGCAGAGGCUGUGCAAAGGUGUGAGCAGGAUCACGUGGAAUCUGGAGGAUACAUCUUGGCUUGCAAACUGCCUCUGUGUCCUGGGUGGGACUGUUCUGUCCUUGCACUGCUGUUCUGUGUUACCUCUUGGGGUGUAAGGUUUUGCUUACAGGAGACAAACUUUGGGCGUAGAAUGGAAGCCACUGCCAGCCUCUGUGCUGAGAAGGAAGGUGCUUGUUUCAAAGGGAGCAGCAAGGGAGGCUUGUUCUACUCACCUGGGCCUGUUUGCCUGAGAAGGGGAGAUAAGGGCUGAACUGGGACUAGCCAGGGGGACCAACACAAAUGGUGGGGGAUCAUUGACCUGAAGGAUUCUUUCCUUCCCAUGAGCUGCGGGACUGGUUGCCAUCCUUGCAACUGUGUCUUGUUUGCCUGUGCCGUUGUAUCUUGGUGACCCCUCCACGUGUACACUACUGACAAACGGGUGGAGUGCUGGGGAGAAGUCACCGUGCCGCCCACCUAGUAAACCUUCUGUCUGUGCUCAUGGCACCUCCAAGAUGGGGAACUGCUGUGUGCAGAAUCCAGGGUCCUCUUUCUGCUUGCAACUCCUUUCCCUGGAUGCCCCAGAAACAAUCCAGGCCUCCUUUCCUAUCUUACCCCUUUGCUUUUUACCCCAGCACCUCUAUAACCGCCUUCUCUUCUUUUCAGAACUCCUUGUUUCUCGUCCUGUUUUUUAUGAUUACAAAACUCUUGCUUCCACCCUGGAAGAUAACUGCUAUAGAUGCCUGUAUGUAAAUGGUGCUGUCUCCAGCAACUGGCAUGCUGAAGAAGAAUUGAUUCACGGGGUAUAAAUGUCGGGGAUUGGAAGUGGGGAUGAAAUGGCGGAAGUGGGGAUGAAAUGGCACUUGUUGAUACAGGAGCAGAGAGGUGAGGCCGACUGCUGAAGACAGCUCACCACCCUCCUUGCCUCCACUCCAAUCCAGGGGCUGGGGCCACAUUCUUUGCCUUCAUUUAUCCUCAGAUCAGGUGAGAUCGACAGGAGGUGUUGAUGGCAGUGCCAGCAAUUAUUGCUAAUCCGUUUGCAUCCUUAUGCAUAGAUCUGAAUUCAGACUUUGUGAAUUUCCAGAGGCGUGGGUAAUAUAAUAGAAUUCAGUGAGUGGGCAUGGCUGAUCUUGUGCAAAUUAGAAGUUAUGGGGCAUAAGAAUAGCAAAAGUUGAACUUGAGCUUCUUUUAAAAAGGAAAGUACCCUGAGAGCCAGUAUUGGUUGAGGCUCUUCAGUAUGCCCAGGUUGGCGGCACUGAGAACCGCAGGAACGGCCUGUUGUUACAAAAAGGAGAUUGACUCAGCUGCCCUUGGUGCAUCUUACUGACUAUGACUGCUGAGAGAUUCCAAGGACCCUUAAUGCCAGGGCUAACCUCUCCAUGUGCAGUGAGACCUCUGGAGGAAGUGUCAUCCUCUGGCUUUGUGUGGUACUCAUUAUGGUGCAGUGCGGGCAUGAAAUGAAGACACCCAAAUAGGCUUACAGAUACUUACGAUAUGUUUUAAAUGUUCGUAUUUAACAAAAACAUACUGACGCUGUUUGGAAAUGGCAACAGGAAGAUAGCAAAAUGAAUACUAACAUUACGAAAAGAUGAACAGGUACAUGUUCCAAGGCAGGUGGCUGUGAACUUCCUCUGAGUGAAGGCAUCCCCUCCAGCACCUUUCAGCCUGCUAGUUAGGACGACCUGCCGCCACCCUCCAGGACCUCCAGCCCUGCACUGCCUUUCCUCUCUUUUAAAUAAUUCUUCAUUGAGUUCUAAUAUGUAAAAAAAAAAAAAAAGUUUACUGUAAAGUUUGCAAAUAAGGAAAUUUUUUAUAAAAGUCCUCAGUAAUCUUACCAGUAACAAUUGUUAUGGGCACAUUUGCUUUUGGAGGAUUUCUUUUGUAUGCAUGGGAUAAGUACAUUUUUAAACAAAAAUGGGAUUAUGCCAUAGAUUCUAUUUUGUGACUUUAAUAAAUAGUGAACACCUUUUUUAAUGAUGACGGGAUGUUCCCUUGCAUGGCUGUAUCAAUUUAAACAAUCUUGUUUCAAUGGACAUACAGGGUAUUUUCUAGUUUUUUUUCCUCUUAGAAAAUAAUACUUGUGAUGACUUUCCUUGUAGCUCAGACUUUUUCACGUCUGUUGUUAUCUCUUUGGGAAUGCUGAAUACAUACAUUUCGAGAAGGAAAUGACUGUUAAACUCUUAAGACUUCAGGUUCAUAUUGCUAAACUGCCCAGCAGGGAGGGAUUUUUUCAAUUAGUGUUCUCACUGGUGAGGCAAACCUGAUGCCUUCCCCUCUUCCUCAGAACCGGCUUUAUCACAUUGAAAACCUUUGCUCCUCCGACGGAUUGAGUCAGCUUUCCCUGUGGAUGUGAGCAUUGCUUUGUCUGCUGGCGACUGAACAUCUCUACCCUGUGUCAAUUGGCCAUUUGUGGUGUGUGUGUGUGUGUGUAUGAUUUUCUAAUUCCUAGUCAUUUUUCUAUUGAUUGUUUUGCAAAAGCCAUUCACAUCUUAAGGAUAUUGAUAAUCUUUUGUUAUAUUUGAUGCAAAUAUUUUUUUCCAGUUUAUAGGUUGCCUUUUAAUUUUGUGUUUCAGGUAGAUAAAAGUUACACGAUUUUCUUAGGUUAGUUUAUCACUGUGGUUUCUGAACUUGUUAUGUGUAGAUCUUUUCCACCCCAAGAGUACAUAAAUAUUAAUCCAUACUUUCUUGUGGAACUUGUAUGGUUUCGUUUUUUACAUUUAAACCUUCUUCCCCGUGGUGUGGGUUGUGGAAUCUGUGUUUGUGUGAGGAGGGGCAUGGUGCUCUCAGAACCCACCUCCUGUGGCCAGAGAGCCCUGUCCUGUGAGGGUGGUUGUCACAGUGGCAGGGUUCAAUUCAGAAGACCUUGAGGGCAGGCUGAUGUUUCCUGAAUGGGCCCCUGGUUGUUGCUUGUCCCUGACUCUCCAUUUCCCCAUCUGAGUGGAUUUGGACCUAAUAGGGCACUGGAGCUGGUUCGAAUCCUGACUGGACUACUUGGCAACUUUAUGUCUGGGAGCAAGUUACUUAACCUCCCCAAGCCUGUGUCUGUGAAAUGCGGGUAAAUGAAUGUAGAUGUUUGGCAGCAGCUACUCCUUGUUGAGCUCUCACAGUGAACUCUCUUGCCUCUGCCCUCCUUCCCCGCCUCCCCUGGUGCCUAGCGUCAGGUCUAGCCACUUCCUCCUGGGCCCCUCUCCCUUUUCUGUGGCUGGCUGCCUGCCCGCCUGGCGCUGGACCUUUCAUGUAACGGGAAUCAGCAUGUAUAUUCUGGUCUGGUCUGUUUCUACACUUAAUUUUGUUUCCAGUAGUAUUUCCCUGUACCGGCAGAGUUCACAAACACAUUUGAAGAGGCUUUUUCUCAGGAUUCUUAACCUUCCCAAAGGAAGUCCCAUGGAUGGGUUUCUAGAAGUCUAUAAAUGCUCUGAAAUUGUAUUUUUCUGUGGAAAGCAUAACUUUCAUCUGCUUGUUCGUGCUCAAAAAAGAUCAUGAAUGAAUGAUUGCAUGAUUUUAUGCCAUUGUGCUUAUACUAAAGGAUAUGUAGCCCAUCUCUUGAGUUGUUAAACUGUUUUGACUACUUUAAAUCGUGCAGCUGUGAGCAUCUCUGUAAAUUUAGUGUACACGUGUAUCCCCUGGAGUGGCAUUGCCUCGGCAGUGAGCACUUACGGUUUUAUAACUCUCUUCUCAAUGACUCAAAUGACUCCAGAAAGCUACGCUUCCUGUUGUGAGUAUAUGAUAUCCAUUUCCCUACAUAGCCACUAACAUCAGGUUUUUACAAUUUUAUUUAUUUCUUGCUACUUUAAGAAAUUUUUGUGGUGAAAUACAUAUAAUAGAAGUUGACUAUCUGAAUCAUUUUUAAGUAUACAUUCAGUAGUGUUAAGUAUGUCGCCAUUGUUGUACAACCAAUCUCCAGAACUUUUUCAUCUUGCAAAACAAACUCUGUACCCAUUAAAUAACAUUAAACAUUCCAUUCCCUCCAGCCUCAGCAACCCCAUUCUACUUUCUGUUUCUGCGAGUUUGACUAUUCCAAGCACUUCAUAUCAGUUAAAUCAUGAAGUAUUUGUCUGUCUGUGACUGGCUUACUUCUCUGAGCACAGUGUCCUCGAGAUGCGUCUAUGUUGUAGCAUAUGUCAGAAUGUCCUUCCUUUUUAAAAGAGCCGAAUAAUAUUCUUAUUUUAUAUCUUUUUUUAAUCCAUUCAUCCAUUAGUGGACACUUGGGUUGCUUUUGGCUAUUGUAAAUAAUGGUGCUAUGUACAAAUAUCUAUAUUAUUGUAUUUACAAGUAUAAUGCUGUAAUGUACACACAUCUUUUUGAGAUCCUGCCUUCAGUUCUUUUGAGUAUAUAGCCAGAAGCGGUAUUACUAAAUCUUACGGUAUUUCUAUUUUUAAUUUAUUGAGGAACCACGGUAGUUUUUCAUAGCAACUGCACCAUUUUACGUUCUCACCAAGAGUGCACAAGGGUUCCGAGGUUCCCACAUCCUCCCCAACACUUGUUAUUUUCUGCUUUUUUAAGAUUGCAGCCAUCAUAGUGGGUGUGAGGUGACAUUUCAUUGUGGUUUUGAUUUGCAUUUCCCUAAUGAGGAGUGAUGCUGAGCAUCUUUUCAUAUGCUUACUGGUCAUUUGUAUGUUGUCUUUGGAAAAAUGUCUAUUCAAGUCCUUUGACUAUUUUAAAAAUUGGGUUAUUAGAGUUAUCGUUGUUGUUGACUUGUAGGAGUUUCUUUCUAUAUUCUGGAUAUUAAUCCCCUAUCAGAUAUAUGAUUUGCAAAUAUCUUCUCUUAUUCCAUAAGGUUACUUUUUCACUUUGUUGAUUGUGUUCUUUGAUGUAUAGAAGUUUUUAGUUUUGAAAUAGUCUAAUUUAUCUGUUUUUACUUUUGUGGUCUGUGCUUUUGGUGUCAUAUCCAAGAAAUCCUUGCCAAAUCCAACGUUAUAAGGUACUUUUAAGGUAUGUUAGUUGUCUUAGUCUAUAUUUCUGUACUCACCUUUCUUUAUCCACUCAUCAGUUGAUGGGCAUGUAGGUUGGUUCCAUAUCUUUGCAAUUCUGAAUUGUGCUGUGAUCAGGUGUCUUUUUAGUAUAAUGAUUUAUUCUCCUUUGGGUAGAUACCCAGUAGUGGGAUUGCUGGAUCGAAUGGUUUUUAUAAUUUUCUAUUUUACCACAGUUUCUCUCUGCAUUUUUCCUCUUUGACCACUAACCAUGUGAAAUUCUCAUAUUGACCUUUAUAAUGAUCAUGAACUCUUAGUAUCAUUGGGAAGGCCACAUUUGCCACUUAUGAUUGUAAACCUUAUCCUCCAUUUUUCCUGUUAUUGUUGGUGCAAAAAGCACCUAUUAUACCAGGACUUUAAAAAUCAGUCUGAUAAGUCUUUGAUAAGUCUAAUAAUAAUAACUGAUAAGUCCAUUGAAUUUGCUUCUGAUUACUUUUUCUUUAGUAGCUAAACAUCUAUGUACUCCUAUGGUUACAAUGAACACUCCUCUCCAUUUAAAUUAAUUAUUUACAUUGAUGAAAUACGGUCUUGGUUUUUUUGUUCCAGGUCAGUCAAUAUUAACUUCUUAUAAUUUUCUUUUUUUUCUUUGUGUGUGUGUGUGUGUGUGUGUGUGUGUGUAUUUUUUUUUUUUUUAAUUUCAAUGGCUUUUGGGGUACAAAUGGCUUUUGGUCAUAUAGAUGAAUUCUACAGUAGUGAAGUCUGAGAUUUUACUGCACCGGUCACCCGAGUAGUGUACAUUGUACCCAAUAUGUGGUUUUUUAUACCUUGCCCCCCUCUUACCCUCCCCACUUUGAGUCUCUAGUGUCCAUUAUGUCACUCUGUAUACCUUUUUGUACCCGUAAGUUAGCUCUCACUUAUAAGUGAGAACACACAGUAUUUGGUUUUCCAUUCCUGAGUUGCUUCACUUAGAAUAAUAUCCUCCAGCUCCAUCCAAAAUUGCUGCAAAAAAAAAAAAACCACAAACAUUAUUUUGUUCUUUUUUAUUGCUAAGUCAUAUUCCAUGGUGUAGAGAUACCACAUUUUAUUUAUCCACUCACUGGUUGAUGGGUUGGUUCCACAUCUUUGCAAUUGUGACUCAUACUGCCAUCAAGUGUCUUUCUGGUAUAAUGACUUCUUUUCCUUUGGGUAGAUACCCAGGAGUGGGAUUGCUAGAUCAAAUGGUUCUUAACAUUUUCUGUCUGGAUCUAUUUCUGGAAAUUUUAGGCUCCAGUUUUUGUUGUUGUUGUUAAUAAAAUGCAAUGGAAUGUAAUGAUCAUCACUUUUCAUUAUGCUUUAAAAUCUGGUAAAUGGAGGCUAGAACACUCCUGUAAGGCAAGAAUAUUCUCUCUCUGUUGGAACUCAAAUACACAGAACUGGGUAAAUCUCAAUCUUAAUCUUUGAUUCAGGACACAACAUGGCUCUCUUUUACUUGCUUUCUUUAAUUGUUUUUUAAUAAUGUGGUAAGCAUUUCUGAAUCUCCUAUCCAAUACAAAAACUAGGACAAUACAGACAGUAACUCCUAUGGUUACAAUGAACACUCCUCUCCAUUUAAAUUAAUUAUUUACACUGAUGAAAUUGAAAUAGCAAAAUUUUAAUGACUAAAUACUGUCUUUGAUUUUGUGUUCCAGGUCUGUCAAUAUUAACUUCUUAUAAUUUUCUUUUUUUUCUUUAUGUGUGUGUGUGUGUGUAUAUAUAUAUUUAAUUUCAAUGGCUUUUGGGGUACAAAUGGCUUUUGGUCAUACAGAUGAGUUCUACAGUAGUGAAGUCUGAGAUUUUACUACACCUUCCACUUAUGUGGUCCCACACCACCCGCCUCCCCUGCCGCCUCCUGCCACCCCCUAGGCCAAGGUAAUAAUCAUCCUGAAUCCUGGGUUUAUCUCUCACUUGCUUUCUUUUCAUAUAAUUUUGCAAAAGAAUCUGAUCUAAAUAUGUUUUUCAGAGUAUAUAUUUAUAUUUUAGUUGUUCUUAGAGAAAAUUUAUUAUUUUGCAUGUAAUCUUAUGGAACAUUCUCAUUUAAUACCAUGGUAAGAUUCAGCCCUUGCCCAGGGGAUAGUUCAUUUAGUUUGUUUACUGGAUAGAGCUCAUCAUGUGACUAUACCUCAGUUAGUUUAUCAGUUCUCCCAUCCAUGGUGACUAGGUUGCCUCUCAGCCUCUCAACAACACUGUUUCUCAGUGUCCUUGUAGAAGUGAUAUGUGGGUGUUUUCUCCUUACACAGAGUUGAAAGGUGAUGACAACAACGUUGGCACUACCAAUCCCCCACCCUCCAGAGGGGUAACCAGUGUUACCAGUUUGCUGUGUUUCCUGCUACACCUCGCCUUAUUCACUUCCAUUUGUAUCUGAAAAACGUGUUGCAUGGUUUCUUUUCUAUAGAAGUGGUAAAAUGCUAUUGUAUCCUGUACAUUAUUGAUUACUUUUUUUCAUUUAACAGUAGGGAGAUGCCUGGGAGUACACAGAGAACUGCCCUCAUUGUUUUCAACUUCUGCACUGUAUGUCUGUGAGUUUAGCCAUUCUGCUGUUAAUGGAAAUUUACAGUAUUCUAAUCUUUUGAUAUUACAAACAGUACUGUGCGAUCGUCAUACACAACCCCUUGUGCACAAUGCAUGAGUGUUUCUCAGGGUAAGUACCAAGAAGUGAAAUUCCUGGGUCAUAGAGCGUGAGUCCGACAUUUUCCUCCAUUCUGCCCUGUUGCCCUCCAGAGUGGGUGUCCAGCUUUGCAUACCUAAGUAUGAGAGUAUCUGUUGUUCAUAUCCUCUACGACGCUCCAUAUAUGAAACUUAAGUUUCUGCUAGUUGCCGUCUUUGAUCUAUCAUGUAUGCAGUGACCUACUAAGACUGUAAUUGGUAAAGUAGAUUCUUGUCAUCUGUGUGUGAAUUUAGCAUUCAUGGGCUUAAUGCUGACAAGGCCCCCAGGGUCCAAGACAUAUAAUCAUGUAUAAUUUUGUCAAGGUAUAAUUUUUUAAAUUGCUCUUGUCAUGUGUCUGCUGGGGAUGCCCAACCCAGUGCUCUGCACCCAGGUCACACUGUGGCUUUGUCCUCUGCUUAUGCCUGCAUUGCAGCAACUGUCCUGAAGAGACCAAAAUUAUGCAGAUUUAGGUAAGCCCAUGGCUAAUGUUAUUAUAUUAUGUGCUAUUGUAAUGGAUGGGGCUGUGGAGUGUAUGAAUUUAUAAAUCACUGGUCUUGUAAUUAAAAUUCAAACACUAUAGAAAAAGGCCAUGUAGAAGAUAAAAGUUCCUUUAUAAUCCCGGACCCCUAAGAUAACUACUAAUGACAACUUCAUUUAUAUUCCUUCAGACAUUUUCUGGCUGUGGAUGUACUAAAAUGUAUCCUAUUAUUCUCUGCCCUAAAAUGGAAUCAUACAAGGUGUACUGUUAUUUUUAUGGCUCUAUAACAUGUCAUAUUGUACGUGUUGGUAUGGUCAUUUUAACCAUUUUUCUAGUGAUGGCUUUGAGGUUAUUUGCAGUUUCCUAGCCAUCUCAAAGUGUGCUGCGGGGAUCUCUUUUGCAUCCCUCUGGGUGCAGAGCUGAGGCACCCAGAGGCAGUGUCCAGAGGAGGCAGCAUCUGUAGGUGUCUUCACCUGCUCUGGCUCUUGGCACAUCUGGUUGGUGACACUGUUUUGUGAGAUGGGUUGAAAGCACGUGCUGCCAAAAUAGAAUAAUGUUGGUCCUCUCCUCAUGUGCCGUGGAACUGGGGUAAAACUGCGUAGUGGCUGCAGCUGCCUGUCCAUACCGGAAUCGAGUAUAACACGGUGCCUGGCUUAGCGCAAAACAGUAGUGGGUCCUGCAGGCCCCAGAGUCUAAUUCCUGGUAUUCUUUCCCCUACGCAGAUUAAAUAAACCAAAAACAAACUAUUCUAGGAAAGCGUCUGUGACAUUUGUAAAAAGUGGUAUUUAAUUAUCUUUUAUUCACUUGUCUGUUUAGUUUGUUGAAAUCUUAAGUGGCAUCCUGGUCUGGGAAGGAGUGCUGUCUGCGCCUGCCCUCCGCUGGGCACAGCGUGGCUGCUUCAGGGGCUAAGCACACACUUUCUGUCUUCUAAAGGGCCGCCACAUGCCAGGAGCUCAGGUGUGAGCCCGGCUCUGGCUCUUACCUCAUAGGGUCACUCAUAGGGGCACAGGGAGCUGAACAUUGUACACAGCGAGGCACCACCCGGCUCGGCAUCUGCCCCGGUGGACUUCCUACCUCUAGAAGGAAAUACCUGAGUUCCUCUGGCCUCAGCUCCUAGAGUGACUGGUGUGCUGUCCCUCUUACUCUUCUGUCAAGGUGACAACUGUGUGACCCAUCAUCUGUGUGUCAAAGCAAGGCCCUACCUGGGCCUCUGCUCCUGUGCUGACCCCAAAGGCAAAUGCUUUGCUAGUUUCCUUCCAGUUAAUUUCACCUAUGAAUAGAUGUGUGAAAACUGUUCAAAGCCAUACAUGCACAUGUUCGAACUUCAAACCCUGUGGGUGAUUCAGUGGCAUCUUUCUCUAACCCCCAGCCUCCCUUCCCACAGAGGCCACCGUCAUGGCCAGUUGCUGCAGUUUCUUUCCAGAGAACCUGUGUAUGUGUAAAGCUGUACAGGCGUGGGUACACCACACAGCCUGUCUUGCACUGUGGACUGUUGAGUUACUAGUACAUCUAGGUAAGCACCGCAUAUCUGUAUUCAUGUCUGCCUUGGUCUUUUCAACAUCUGUGUGGUAGCCGUGUUUGAAUUAUCCAUUCCCUUUUUGGGGAACCAUUAAGUUGUUUCAGCAAUUUUUACUGUAGAUAAGGCUAUACCGCAUAUCUGUGUACAUGGGUUUUUAUGUACAUGGGCAAGUAUAUCUGUGAGGGAAAAGUUUCCUCAGGAGGAAUUCUGGGCACAGCAUGUGUAAAUUUCUAAAUAUGAUGGACACCCCCAGCUUCCACCUCAAGGAGGUUGUUCCCAUUGACAUUUCCCCACACCUUCACCCAGGCUGUGCCCUUAAACUUGGUUAUUCGUCAAUGUGAGAAGUGGAAAAUAGUAUUUAAUUGUAGUUUGGAUUUGUAUUUCUAUUGGGUUGUAUACUUACUGAUUAAUAAUAAGAGCUCUUUACAUAUUAAGGAAAUUAACCAUUUUCAAAUACAUUCCUAUUUCUCACUAAUCUUUAAGUUUUAUUGUAAUAUUUUGCUCUUUAUAUAUAUAUAUAUAUAUACACACACACACACACACACACACACACACACACACACACAUAUAUAUACUAAUUUUCUUUUAUGGUUCCUGGAUUUUGUGAGUAGUUUGAAAAGGCUAAUCCAGCUGAAGAUUUUGUUGUUGUUGUUAAACCCCAUGUUUUCUCCUAACUCUUUUUAUUUUUAUUUUGGAGGACUCUAUCUGGACUUAAUUUUAGCAUAACAAGUGACAGGGUUAGUUAGCCUGUUGUCCUUACACCAUUUUCUGGCUAAUACAGCUAUUAACUAUUGAUCUGUCUAUUCACGUGCCAGUUCCUAAUGGUUUUACAUAGUGUAAUCUGCACUUCAAAAUAGCGAAGGGAAGCCCUACCUCAUUAUUCUACUUUUCCAGAAUUCUCCUGGCUAUUCCAGGCUGCAUGUUUACCUUAACCUUCCCUGUGAUGUCUUCAUGCUGUUGUCUUCUUAUGCAAGAAUAAGGUACGUCUUUCCAUCCACUCACGUCUGUUUAAUUUGACUUUGCAUUACACAGAAAGCUGGUCUUGGUCUGUCUACCUUGGCAUCUAGUUGUCCUCACUGCCCCCUAGCCGACCCCACCCCAUCUGACUGACUACCCCAUCACAGAGUACUUUUAUUUACGUUUUGCUCUGCCUAAUGGUUACUUGAUACUGUCACGCCGACAGUGUCCAGUUCAGUGGUCUUUGCAGUUGAAAUGCUCCUGUACACACUGUCUUGUUAAAAAUGCCAGUAAGUUCAUACAAACCCAGCUUGCACCCAAGGUCACAUUCAGAGAGCGUAGGGCUGGGAUGGGUUGUUUUCCAAGCUUCUGCCACUGUGUGGCUAGCUCUUCCCACUGGGAAGUUCUGUGUACCUGGAAUGUCGGAGUGGAGUCCUGUUCUAGUGUCCAGCACCUGACCCUGUGCCCAACCCCUCAACAGCCUAUUCCUGCUGUCCACAGCCUGCUGGAACUUUUUACAAAAUAUGUUGCCAUGCUGGACCCUGGGCACUGGACAUAAGCCCCCUGGCAGCCUUUUUCAUGUCACCCAAAGGGGUAAUUGUCCUACUGGUGGUCUGUAAGAUGAGUUAGGGUGACUUGCUAAUAGACAUUGUAAAUCUUAAUAUUUAUGUAUGUAUUUUAUUAUUACCGGUUUUCCAUUUAUGAUGGUAAUAUUGUUUCUUCUAAGAAUAUUUAUUUUUCCUUCUAAAUAUUGAGAUAAAAUUCAUGCUUUUGAAAUGUUCUAUUCAGUGGCUUUUAGUAUAUUUGCUAUGUUGUGCAACCAUCGACACUAUCCAUUUCUAGAACUUUUUCGUCAUCCCAAACAGACGCUCUGUAUUCAUAAAAAAAUAACUUCCUACCUGUCUCUCCCCCUAGUCUUUGGUAACCUUUGUUAUACUGGUAAACUUUGUUGUGCUCUCUGUCUGUGUGAAUUUGCCUAUUCUAGGGGCCUCAUAUAAGUGUAAUCAUACAGUAUGUGUCUUUUUGGGUCUGUCUGAUUUCACUUAGCGGGUUUUCAGGGUUCAUUCAUGUUGUAGCAUAUAACAGUACUGCAUUCCUUUUUCUGGCUGAAUAAUAUUCCACUGUAUGGAUAGACCCCAUUUUGUUUAUUCACACAUCAUUUGGACAUUUGGAUUAUUUCUGGUUUUUGGCUAUUAUGAACAAUGGUGCUAUGAACAGUUGCGUACAAGUUUUUGUGUGAACAUAUGUUUUCAAUUCUCUCAUUAUAUACCUAGGAGUAGAAUUACUGGGUCAUAUGGUAACUGUAUAUUUUUGAGGAACUGCCAAACUAUUUUCCCACGUCCAUGCACCAUUUCACAUUCCCACCAGUAAGUAAGAGGGUUCCAAUUUCUGCGCAUUCUUGCCAACACUAGUUAUUAUCUGACUUUCUGGUUAUAAUCAUUCUAAUGAGUGUGAAGUAGCCUCUGGUGUCAUUUGGAUUUGCAUUUCUCUGAUGAGUGAUGCUAUCAAGCACCUUUGCUGGUGCUGUUGGCCAUAUGUGUAUGUUCCCUGGAGAAGUGUCUGUGCUGAGCCUUGGCCCACUUUUUAAUUAGGCGUUUGUCUUUUUAUUACUGAGUUGUAAGAGUUCUUUAUAUAUUCUGGAUUCUAGACCCUUAUCAGAUACAUGGUUUGCAAAUAUUUUCUCCCAUUCUGUGGGUUGUGUUUUCACUUUAUCGAUAAUGUCCUUAGACAUAUAAUAAAUUUGUAUUUUAAAAGUGACUUGAUUUGGCUGUGCAAGGUGGCUCACGCUUGUAAUCCCAGCACUUUGGGAGGCUGAGGUGGGUGGAUCAUAUGAGGAGGCUAGGAGUUCGAGGUCAGCCUGGCCAGCAUAGCGAAAACUUGUCUCUACUAAAAAUACAAAAAUUAGUCAGGCAUGGUGGUGCACGUCUGUAAUACCAGCUUCUCGGGAGGCUGAGGCACGAGGAUCACUUGAACCCAGGAGGAGGAGGUUGCAGUGAGCUGAGAUCAUGCCAGGGCAACAGAAUGAGACUUUGUUUAAAAAAAAAAAAAGUGACUUGAUUUAAGGGAAAAAAUGACUGGCUAUAUUCAGUCAGAUAUGGCAAAAAGUCUCAAGGUGUUAAUGUGAAUGAUUAAGGUCUUGGGGGGGGUGUCCCCUAUCAGACUACAGGUGUUUAGAGGCACAGAAAAAGGUGCAGUUGGGUUCUUAAUGUGAAAUGAUGAGAAGCACAACUCCAGUGUGUCUCUUUGUGUAGAAUGUCAGCAGACACCCCCUGCUAGAUGUGCUGGAUCAUGGGAAAGCAUUUCCAUUUGUUACUAGAUUGUUCAGAAGUUUUAAUUUAUGAUGGGUGCGGUGGCUCAUGCCUGUAGUCCCAGCACUGUGGGAGGCUGAGGCAGGAGGAUCAUCUGAGGCCAAGAGUUCAAGAUCAGCCUGGGCAACAUAGUGAUACCCUAUCUCUUAAAAAAGAAGAAGUUUUUAAAUUUGAAAUAAUAAUAGGUACUGGAUUUAUGCAAAUGUCUUUUCUGCGUCUUUUGAGAUGAGUAUCAGGUUUUUUUUUUCUUUUAUCAUCUGAUGAUGAACUUAAUGUUUCCGUUUGUAUUAAUGGAAUACUAAGUCCCUCUGUGAUUUCUGAACCAAGCUAUUCCUAGGCCUGAGUUUUAUUUUGUUGACACAGAAAUAAAUUAGAAGGCCAAGCGUGGUGGCAUGUGCCUGUAGUCCUAGUUGCUGAGGUAAGAGGAUUGCUUGAGCCCAGGAGUUCAAGGCUGCAGCAAGCUUUGAUUGCACCAUUGCACUCCAGCCUUGGCGACAGACUAAGACGCUGUCUCAAAAAAAAAACAAAAACGACAAAAAAAAAAAAAAAAAAAAAAAACAGAAAAAAUAAACUAAGGCAAUGACAGUCCCUGGCAAAUGCUGGGAGGGAGGCAGCAGUGGUCAGGGAAGGUAACCCUGAAGCAGGACUUGUAAAGCAAAUAAGAUUGGGAGGCCAAGGUGGGUGGAUCACGAGGUCAGGAGAUCGAGACCAGCCUGGCCAACAUAGUGAAACCCCAUCUUUACUAAAAAUACAAAAAAAUUAGCCAGGUAUGGUGGUGGGUGCCUGUAGUCCCAGCUACUUGGGAGGCUGAGGCAGGAGAAUCUCGAACCCAGGAGGUGGAGGUUACAGUCAGCUGAGACCGCACCAUUGCACUCCAGCCUGGGUGACAGAGCAAGACUCCGUCUCAAAAAAAAAAAAAAAAAAAAAACCAAGAAGAAAAGGAAUGAAUUAGAACUUCUUCUGCUUGGACUUAAGGGCAUCAUCAGGCAGGUUUUGGGUAGGAUAGCAGGGGAGGCAGAGACACAGUCGGGGUCAGUGGUCAUGAGUGUGGCUUUGAGCCCAAAAACUUGGUUUCUGUUCCCUACUUUGCCACUUAGUAGUGCAUGACUUUGGCCAAAUUUCUUAAAUUCAUGAAGCAAGUUUCCGGGUGAAUGAAAUGGGGAUAAAAAUAGUGUUCAAACCUAUCCGUUGGUUUGUGUGAAACUGAAAUGAAUAGUAUCGUGCAGGUACUUGUGAGCAAGGGGAGCUGCUGUUUCCUGUCCCUUUAUGAUGGGAAAUAUCUAGACAAGUUCCCAACCCUCUGCACUGCAGGCUGCAUGGCACGGAGGGUCUUGUAACACCAGCUGGGGCUGGCCUUCUUUUAGGAGCUUCAGUGGUUCUGAAAACUUUUAUUUGUUUGUUUGUUUUAGUAGAUGUGGGGUCUUUCUGUGUUGCCCGGACUGGUCUCAAACUUCUGGACUCAAGUGAUCCUCCCCCGCUCAACCUCCCAAAGUGUUGGGAUUACAGGUGUGAGCCACUGUGCCCAGCCUUGAAAACUUUUUCAGGUUCUUCCAGGGUUACUGGGCUAUUAAAUAUUUCUAUUUCAUUAUAAGUCAGUUUUUCAAAGUUAUAUUAUCUUAAUUACCUUUUUUAUAUGUAUUAGUGUAGAGUAGCAUUUUAUAUUUUGAUAUCCUCCUUAUGCAUAGUUUUUCACUUUUUAUUCCUAGUUUUUCGUUUUUAAUAAGACUUUCAAGAAAUUUAUUUUAUUGGCCUUUUGAAAAAAGCAGCUUUAGAUAAAGUAAGCAGUUCUGCUUUCAUUUUAUAAUUUAUUUCUACUUUUGUUUCAUUAAUCUUUUCCUCCGGCAUGCCUUGGAUUUUGUUGUGUUACUCUUUUUCUAGAGGCUCGCAUUGUGUGUCUGGUUCACUUAUGAUCACGCUUGCCUACUUUUAAGAAUGGAAGAGGGGAGGUGGAGGGUGGCUACGCAGUCGAGGGUGUGAGGCAGUCUUGCUCUAGCCCCACCAUGCCCUCAGCCCGCUGUGGCCACGCUGGUUCCUCAAUUGCUGGGGCGUGCAGUGUCUGUAAGGGAGGCUACUGAUGCCAUCCGAGGAAGAUGUAAGGUUUCGUGUGGGCAGCGAGAGCCUAGCAGGCAUGUGGGGUGCCCAGCAAAGGGAAACAGUGGACAGUUGUUGCCUCAUUCCACAGAGUUUUGAUUUUUUUUUUUUUUUAAUGGUCACUCCAUCAACAUCCCCCAUGGCCAGAGCCUGAGCUGGUCCCCAGAGACACAGGCAUUCAGCUGACAGCCUCGCCUUCACGCUGCUGCUGUUCUCAUGGGGGACAGGCCUCAGGUGGCAAUGCACAAAUCAUCAGUUAAGGGCAGUUGUGACAGUUACCAAGGAGUGUAGUCCCCCGCCCAGUGAAAACAGCCCUAACCAGGGGUGGGGACCUUUGGGCUCUGACCCGAAGGGUAGGAGAAGCUGGAAGGACAGCAUUCCUGUCUGCGAAGGCAGGAGCAAAGCUGCCAGGCUAUGAAGGAAAUGGCUGGAGCCUGAAGUCGUGCAAGCUGGGGCUGGCAGGGACAGGGCCAACUUCCAGGCCUGGGGGCCACCAUGAGGAUUCAGGACGUGACCCCCAGGGCACAUGAAGGCCUUCCAUCUGUAUUUAAGAAAAGACUUUAUCAGACGAGUACGGUGGCUCACGCCUGUAAUCUCAGCACUUUGGGAGGCUGAGGCGGGUGGAUCACGAGGUCAGGAGUUCAAGACCAGCCUGGCCAAUAUGGUAAAACCCCAUCUCUACUAAAACUACAAAAAUUAGCCAGGCAUGGUGGCGCACACCUGUAGUCCCAGCUACUCGGGAGGCUGAGGCAGAAGAAUCACUUGAACCCGGGAGGUGGAGGUUACAGUGAGCCAAGAUCGCGCCACUACACUCCAGCCUGGGUGACAGAGUGAGACUCCGUCUCAAAAAAAACCAAAAGACUUUAUCUUAUUUCCUAUAUGUUUGUGGUUUCAGUCCUGAUGUAUAAUUUGACCCUAGUUAGAAUGGUUAUCUGAGGAAGUGGCCUGUACGAUUUCUGCUUUUUUAAAUGUGUGGCUCCCUUUCUUCAUUGAUUAACGUAUGAUUAUUUUUAUAAAUGUUCCAUGGCAGUGGGAAGGGAUUCUCUGUCACAUUCCACAUCUGGAUCAGUUCCUCCCCAUUUUGUUGGUCAAAUCCGGAUCUGCCAUAUCCUGUGUAAUGACAAGUGAGUUGCAUUCUCACCGUCACUCCUGGGGUCUCUCCGCUUCCCCUGAGCUGGCUCAGCAGUCUGCUCCAUGUGUUUUGAUGCAGGGUGACCCAUUGGUAUUUCCGACACUAACGCCCCCGUCUGUGGACUGCUUGCUGCUUGGGCUUCACUGUGUCUGGUGUUGACAGUGCAAACCUAAAGGUGUGCACACACACUCCGCUGUCUUCUUGUUUGCACUGGACUUAAAUAUCUAUGAGGGUUAUUUUCAACUGCUGAAUUUGGAAUGAUUCUUAUAUCUUUUCUGCUUUCUGCCCAUGUACAUGUGUUUAUUUUACACUGUUGUGAUUGGUAGUUACUAUGUGGGGACACAAUUACUUGGGCUGAAAUAAUCCACCUGUUCUGGUUGGGGUCCUCUGGGGCAUUCCAGGGUGAGAGGUUGUCACUGCCACCUGGGCCAUGUGGGCCGGCACCAGCAUUUUGUGGUUACGAAUUGUACAGUCACAAAUAUCUUUGGGCAAAUCCCCUUCUAUACCUCAAGGCAGCUUUUGGUUUGCAACCCCACUGGCCAGAGGGAAGGGCCAGUCACUUGGCUCUCUCACUGCCCUGCGCCCCAGAUGGUUCUAGGGCUGCUGUUUUCCCUUGGCCCUGCCAACACCACUGUUUUUACUUCUGCUCAUUGGCUGAGUGCAGUGGUUCCUGGAAGCCGGUGGCACGUUUCCCCGCAUAGCUCGCUCAUCCCACAGCACACACCCGAGGGUUCUGUUGCUAACACGCUGAAUUAAUUCUUUGCUCAUCUUACAGAGUGUGUUUUGACUGCCCCCAUUUCUGAGGCCUUGUAAGGCCAGAGCUUUGUUGCUUCAUCGGCAGGUUGGGACUUAGAUGGCCGUGAACGUUUCCUCUCUGCUGCUGCAGUAAGUAAGUGCCCGCACCAUAGUGUGUUUGGGGGCUGAAGUUGAAGCGAGGCUGUGAGGGGAGAUGGACGUGUGAGGAGGGAUGAUGGGGCUUGAGCAAAGUGGGGGAGGGGCAAAGGCAGUUGGCCCAACACAUCAACACAUUCCCCACCCCUUUGAGAGGUCUGAGGCCUGCAGACCUGGCUCGGAGCCCACCUGGUAGUCCUCAGACCGUGUGUGUGUGUGUGUGUGUGUGUGUGUAAAAGAGAGAAGUUGUGGAGAAAUAGGGGGCUGAUUCUGCUCAGAUUCAUCAGGACGAGUAGAAGGCACCCAGCUCUCACCCUGGCCUGACAUGUGUGUCCCUGAGCAGGUUACAGCCCUCUCUGAGCCUCUGCUUCCCAUCUGGACCCUGCUGGGCAGGGCUUCUGAGCUCCUUAGCACUAGCAGGAGGGGCUCCAGGGGCCCUCCCUCCAUGGCAGCCAGGACAGGACUCUCAAAUGAGGACAGCAGAGCUCGUGGGGGGCUCCCACGGACCCGCCGUGGGCCCAGGGGAGGCAGAGCCUGAGCCAACAGCAGUGGUGCUGUGGACCGUGGAUCCUGAGGGUGGCCUGGGGCAAGUACCGGCUGAGGGUCCAGGUGGGCUUUGUGUACCUUUGGGUCCUGGGGCCCUGGUGACUUGGACCCGUCCUCCCCAGAACUUGGACUCCAGGUUAGAGUCAAGUGACAGGAGAAAGGCUGGUGGGGCCCUGUGCUUCCGACUUCAUUUCGAGUGAUGGCAGUUCCCAGGAAGGAAUCCACAGCUGACGGUGGCUGACAGAUCAGAGAACGGAAGGCAAGGCAGGCGGGCGUCUGCGUGACCUCAGGUGCUUGGGGCCCAGCAGACCCAGAGAACCAUUUCCACUAGGCCAGGGUGCCGGAAGUGUCCACAGGUCUUAGAUUCCCUGUUCAGAUGAAAAGAUUUGUGCCUUUAAUGAUAAAAGUGAUCUGCAUAGAGUCAAAAAUUCAAGCCAUGGUUAUAAAAUGCAAGUAAAAUCCCUGCCCUCACCUAUCCCACCCUGCUACACAGAGAUGUCCUCUCAAGUUUCCUAGACUCACUCUGGAAAUUUCUGUAUACACACAGAAGCUUGUGCCUCUGCUCGUGAAGGCAGAGGGAGGGAGAGCUGAAGGACCAGCACCUUCUCACCUGUGGGCCCCCUCAGUGCUCGGUCCCAGAGCAUGCAGGACUGUGCCUCGUGUUCAGUUUGCUGGUCUGACUUCAUGCUCCUUGGGCGGGAUAUGCAUGUGCCAUGCUAGGAGACAUGUGGAUGUGAAGCUGGGGGACACUGUCCCCUGGCUAUGCCUUUACAAGGGAAGUAAGGAAGGUAGGAGGUGAGCCUGGGAGGGAGGGAGGGAGGCGCGGAGCCGCCGCAGGUGUUUCUUUUACUGAGUGCAGCCCAUGGCCGCACUCAGGUUUUGCUUUUCACCUUCCCAUCUGUGAAAGAGUGAGCAGGAAAAAGCAAAA
RNAcentral lists this long non-coding RNA (22721 nucleotides) under Pan troglodytes (chimpanzee). RNAcentral describes it as "lincRNA". The stretch from base 1162 to 1320 matches the Rfam family "Nuclear enriched abundant transcript 1 conserved region 3". Lineage: Eukaryota; Metazoa; Chordata; Mammalia; Primates; Hominidae. The record is from RNAcentral.